AGCCUGAUGCAGCAACGCCGCGUGAGGGACGACGGCCUUCGGGUUGUAAACCUCUUUUAGCAGGGAAGAAGCGAAAGUGACGGUACCUGCAGAAAAAGCGCCGGCUAACUACGUGCCAGCAGCCGCGGUAAUACGUAGGGCGCAAGCGUUAUCCGGAAUUAUUGGGCGUAAAGAGCUCGUAGGCGGUUUGUCGCGUCUGCUGUGAAAUCCGGAGGCUCAACCUCCGGCCUGCAGUGGGUACGGGCAGACUAGAGUGCGGUAGGGGAGAUUGGAAUUCCUGGUGUAGCGGUGGAAUGCGCAGAUAUCAGGAGGAACACCGAUGGCGAAGGCAGAUCUCUGGGCCGUAACUGACGCUGAGGAGCGAAAGGGUGGGGAGCAAACAGGCUUAGAUACCCUGGUAGUCCACCCCGUAAACGUUGGGAACUAGUUGUGGGGUCCAUUCCAC
RNAcentral lists this ribosomal RNA (445 nucleotides) under bacterium. Its description in RNAcentral is "bacterial SSU rRNA". It matches the Rfam family "Bacterial small subunit ribosomal RNA", at positions 380 to 844 of the family's 1533-position model. The record is from RNAcentral.